GACGAACGCUGGCGGCGUGCUUAACACAUGCAAGUCGUACGGUAAGGCCCUUUCGGGGGUACACGAGUGGCGAACGGGUGAGUAACACGUGAGUAACCUGCCCACAACUUUGGGAUAACGCUAGGAAACUGGUGCUAAUACUGGAUAUGUGCUCCUGCUGCAUGGUGGGGGUUGGAAAGCUCCGGCGGUUGUGGAUGGACUCGCGGCCUAUCAGCUUGUUGGUGGGGUAGUGGCCUACCAAGGCGGCGACGGGUAGCCGGCCUGAGAGGGUGACCGGCCACAUUGGGACUGAGAUACGGCCCAGACUCCUACGGGAGGCAGCAGUGGGGAAUAUUGCACAAGGGGCGCAAGCCGGAUGCAGCAACGCCGCGUGCGGGAUGACGGCCUUCGGGUUGUAAACCGCUUUCAGCAGGGACGAAGCUUUUUGUGACGGUACCUGCAGAAGAAGCACCGGCUAACUACGUG
This 465-nucleotide ribosomal RNA is filed under the name uncultured bacterium. RNAcentral describes it as "partial 16S ribosomal RNA". It matches the Rfam family "Bacterial small subunit ribosomal RNA", at positions 28 to 507 of the family's 1533-position model. The record is from RNAcentral.